Molecule: ribosomal RNA, 497 nt
Filed under: uncultured bacterium
Lineage: Bacteria
Description: partial 16S ribosomal RNA
Rfam family: Bacterial small subunit ribosomal RNA
Source: RNAcentral
GAUGAACGCUGGCGGCGUGCCUAAUACAUGCAAGUCGAGCGAACGGACGAGAAGCUUGCUUCACUGAUGUUAGCGGCGGACGGGUGAGUAACACGUGGAUAACCUACCUAUAAGACUGGGAUAACUUCGGGAAACCGGAGCUAAUACCGGAUGAUAUUUUGAACCGCAUGGUUCAAAAGUGAAAGACGGUCUUGCUGUCACUUAUAGAUGGAUCCGCGCUGCAUUAGCUAGUUGGUAAGGUAACGGCUUACCAAGGCAACGAUGCAUAGCCGACCUGAGAGGGUGAUCGGCCACACUGGAACUGAGACACGGUCCAGACUCCUACGGGAGGCAGCAGUGGGGAAUCUUCGGCAAUGGGCGAAAGCCUGACGGAGCAACGCCGCGUGAGUGAUGAAGGUCUUCGGAUCGUAAAACUCUUUUAUUAGGGAAGAACAUAUGUGUAAGUAACUGUGCACAUCUUGACGGUACCUAAUCAGAAAGCCACGGCUAACUACGUG